RNAcentral lists this ribosomal RNA (253 nucleotides) under uncultured bacterium. RNAcentral describes it as "partial 16S ribosomal RNA". It matches the Rfam family "Bacterial small subunit ribosomal RNA", at positions 524 to 776 of the family's 1533-position model. The record is from RNAcentral.
UACGUAGGCAGCAAGCGUUGUUCGGAAUUACUGGGCGUAAAGCGUGCGCAGGCGGCCUCUUAAGUCAGAUGUGAAAUCCCCGGGCUUAACCUGGGAACUGCGUUUGAAACUGGGAGGCUAGAGUGUGGAAGAGGGGGGUGGAAUUCCAGGUGUAGCAGUGAAAUGCGUAGAGAUCUGGAGGAACACCGAUGGCGAAGGCAGCCCCCUGGGCUGACACUGACGCUCAUGCACGAAAGCGUGGGGAGCAAACAGG